CUCUGAGUUUCUAUACUUGAGUACCAUAGGUAAUGAAAAUCCUGUGGGAAGCAGGCUGAACUACCAGCCAAGGCUAAAUACUACCCUCUCACCGAUAGUGAACCAGUACCGUGAGGGAAAGGUGAAAAGUAGGGAGGUGAUCCCGGUGAAAUAGAACCUGAAACCAUCUCGCCCACAAAGAAUAGGAGCACUUCGCUUCGCUUCGUGUUCCUUAAAUUCGAAUUUCGAAUUUGGGAAUACCGAGCGGAGCGAAGUGUGACUGUGUGCCUAUUGAAGAAUGAGCCAACGAGUGGCGGUCAACUUUUUGUCUAAGUCCUUCUGGGACGAAGGCGAAGCGAAAGCGAGUGCGAAUAGCGCGCAAUUGAGAUUUUUCUCAAAAAAAGUUGGCUGCCGACCCGAAGCCAAGCGAGCUUGCCAUGGCCAGGGUGAAUCUUAGAGAAAUCUGAGAGGAGGCCCGAACCCGUGAGUCGUGCAAUACUUUGGGAUGAGCUGUGGCAAGAAGUGAAAAGCUAAUCGAGCUUGGUAAUAGCUGGUUCUCCCCGAAAUAGCUUUAGGGCUAGCGCCUCGUUAAAUAAGAUACUUUGGGGGUAGAGCACUGGAAAGAAUAUCGUGGAGCAAUCCAGGUAUUUUUACCAAACUCCGAAUACCAGAGUAUCUAACGGGGUAGUCAGAACCUGGGCGCUAAGGUCCAGGCUCAAAAGGGAAAGAGCCCAGACCUUCAUCUAAGGUCCCUAAAUCUGAGCUAAGUGACAAAGGAAGUGGAAUUCCAUUGAUAGCUAGGAGGUGAGCUUAGAAGCAGCUAUCCUUUAAAAAAUGCGUAAUAGCUUACUAGCUAAGGAAUUCUGCGCCGAAGAUUUACCAGGACUAAAGCUCAUUACCGAAGAUAAGGUUCCUUGUCCUUCGGACAAGGAAAUUCUAAGUACUGAAUCCUAAAUUCUAAACUAAAAGUAAAAUAAUUUAUUCAUAUAGUUUAGGAUUUAGAAAUUCGAAUUUAGGAUUUCCUCGCCCGGAGGGCGAGGAGGUAGGGGAGCGUUCUCUUGGCAGCGAAGUUGAAUCGUGAGGUUCAAUGGAGCUAAGAGAAGUGAGGAUGUUGGUAUGAGUAACCGCAAGGCAAGUGAAAUCCUUGCCCACCGAAAACCUAAGGUUUCCUUGGCAACGGCAAUCGACCAAGGGUUAGGCGAUCCUUAGGCAAAGCCGAAAGGCCUAGCUGAUGGAUAGCCGGUUAAUAUUCCGGCCCGUCCGUUAGAUAAAAUUCAAGUGACGCAGUCAAAAUCUUUGGGAGGAUUAUUGGAUUUCCAGGUUGGAGUUUUUCCAGCCACCUCAAAGAUUAGAUUGCCUAGAAAAACUUGGACUAUAUUAUCUAAUGGACCUCGUACCGCAAACCGACACAGGUAGGUGGGUGUAAGUGUACCAAGGUGAACGGGUGAAAGCUCCUGAAGGAACUCGGCAAAAAAGUAGGCGUAAGUUCGCAAUAUGCCUUGCCUUGUGUUGAACGAGGCUGCAACAAACGUUUCCCUGGCGACUGUUUAACUAAAACACAGGUCCCUGCUAAACUCCAAAGAGGAUGUAUAGGGGCUGAGGCCUGACCAGUGCCCGUGUGUUAUGGGUGCCAGUUUCCCUGAGAGAGCCGCAAGGCCUCAUCUCAGGGCGGCUGAGUGCCUUAAGCCACGGGUAAACGUCCGCUCUAACUCUGAGAGUGUUAAAGUAGCGUCAUCCCUUGUCGAGUAAGUUUCGGCCCGCAUGAAAGGCUUCACGACUAGGGAACUGUCUCCAGGAGCCGCCCGGUGAAAAUACGAUAAGCGUGAAGACGCGCUUUACCUGCGGUUAGACGAAAAGACCCCGAGAGCUUUACUGCAGCCUGAUAUUGAACUUUGGUUUUGGAUGCGUAGCGUAGAAGGGAGACUUUGAAGCCCUGUUUUCGGAUGGGGUGGAGUCAACAAUGAAACACCUUCCUUUCAAAACCUUGGUUCUAACCCGAAAGGAGACAGUGUCUGGUGGGCAGUUU
This 2005-nucleotide ribosomal RNA is filed under the name hot springs metagenome. RNAcentral's name for it is "bacterial LSU rRNA". It matches the Rfam family "Bacterial large subunit ribosomal RNA", at positions 392 to 2271 of the family's 2925-position model. The record is from RNAcentral.